UGGGAAUCCAUGUUUCAUUUCUCUGUAGCUUCAUAACACAUGUUGAACACCUUUGAGUACUGGCCUCUGUUUAAAGAUGGGAGCGGGUGAUUUGACUUUCUGCUAGGGAAUGUUAUGACCCAGUGGAAGAAGUAAGGUCUUAGAACAAAAGACCGGAAAAGAGAAGAGCCUCUGAAGGUUGGAGGAGAACAGGUUCCUGAGGCAAAUGGAUGGAACUAGAAGAAACCAUCCUGAGUGAGGUGACCCAGUCACAAAAAGAUUAACAUGAGCCUUCAUCCAGAAGCUGUUUGAAGCCAAAACAGGCACCCACAGCCAAGCACUGAACCAUACUACUGGAAUCCUGUUGUGGAGAGGGAGGAGGGAUGAGCAAAGGAGCCAAGACAGAGCUGGAAAAACCCUCAGAAACAGUGGACCUGACCUAGUGAGAGCAUGGAGACGCUAGUCAUAAAGCUGAGGAAACAGCAUUGGACCAAACCAAGCCCUCUGAAUGUGGGUUCCAGCUAGGAGGCCAAGACAGUCUAUGGGACCUCUAACAGUGGAGCCAGUCUUUAUCCCUAGAGCACAAGUGGACUUUGGGAGCCCAUUCCCUAUGGAGAGAUAAUAUUGCAGCCCAGAUACAGCAAGGAGGGCCUACAACCUCCCCCAAAUGAUAUGAUGGACAUUGAAGGUCCCCAUGGAGGGCCUCACUAUCCCUGGGGAGGAGCUGGG
This 708-nucleotide long non-coding RNA is filed under the name Cricetulus griseus (Chinese hamster). RNAcentral's name for it is "lncRNA (ENSCGRG00015010388.2)". Lineage: Eukaryota; Metazoa; Chordata; Mammalia; Rodentia; Cricetidae. The record is from RNAcentral.